AGGAGAGCCAGGCUGCAAUGAGCUAUGAUCACACCAUUGUACUCCAGCUGGGGCAACAGAGUGAGACCUUGUCUCUAUUGAAAAAAAAAAAAAAAGAAAAAGAAAGAAUGACCAGAACUCUGACUUUAACUCACAGGAAAGCAAGUAAUUAGAAUACGAGGUGAGGCUCUCUAGAAACCUCAACUCAGAAACAUCACUCUUUUUUGAGACAAUGUCUUGUCUUGCUCUGUCACCCAGGCUGGAGUGCAGUGGCACCGUCAUACCUCACUGCAGCCUUUAAUUCCUGGGCUCAAGCAAUCCUCCUCCCUCAGCCUCUCAAAUAGCUGCAUCUACAGGCGAGCACCACCAUCAUGCUUGGUGAGGCUGGAACUACGCUCACCACAUGGACAGGCGUGAUCUCUGUACAUAUGAGCCAACACAGUUACAUGACUGGAUGCCUCCUCCACAUCAUGUUCUCUUGCCUGCUAACUGGGAGAAAACUGAAGAAGACUCCAGGAUCCUGGGAGAUAGAGGUGGAGCCCACAGAUGGAAUAAAACCAAGUCCUGGAUUCACUGUAUGGAAGAAAUAUACGCAUUAACCAGGAACAUCUACAGUAGAUAAUUAGAGGAGAGUGAUGAUCCACGGAGAUUAGGCGGGUUUAUUUGUUAUAGCAGCUAGUGUUACCCUAUUACAGAGUCAGAGGAAAUAAUGUAUAUAAAAUAAGCCCAGUGUCUCGCAGAUAACCACGUUCAAUAAAUGUUUUUGUUUGUCCCUUUGAA
Molecule: long non-coding RNA, 759 nt
Filed under: Homo sapiens (human)
Lineage: Eukaryota; Metazoa; Chordata; Mammalia; Primates; Hominidae
Description: novel transcript
Source: RNAcentral